UCAUUUGGUUUAUUUGAUGGUGGCUGAGUAUUGUUCUUUCUUUGCAACACAAAAGCUUCAAUUUUUUUUGCGUCUUCUGUCUUUGUUUUGUGUUAUAAUGACUUUUCGCCGGACAAAAGGUUAAAUUUUUUGGUGUUCUUGAGCCUUCUCUGACAUAAAGUUGUCACCGAGAGCAAAUAGUGUUCGGCAUUUGAAGGACAGGUUUGUGAUGUAUUUCAUUUCUCCUUUUGAUUUAUGGGUUCUUUCAGUAUAAAAGAUUGAAUUUUUUUUUGUGUUCCUCAGUCUUAUUGAGUCUUAUUUGACCAUGGUUAACCCACUCUUCUUCCUUUGCAAGACAAAAGCCAUAGAUCAUAGUAUGUUGGAUAGAUUACAGGGGAAAGCUUCAUUUUUUUCUUUACUCAGAUGAACAUAGUUCGAUUGCCGAUGUUCUGCCUUAAUAGCACAAUAUUGAAAAAUAUGGAUCUUUGUGUUGCA
Glycine soja is the source of this 474-nucleotide long non-coding RNA. RefSeq lists it as uncharacterized. The record is from RefSeq and is a predicted model, not a curated record. The transcript is spliced from 2 exons. Lineage: Eukaryota; Viridiplantae; Streptophyta; Magnoliopsida; Fabales; Fabaceae.